This 330-nucleotide ribosomal RNA is filed under the name uncultured bacterium. RNAcentral describes it as "bacterial SSU rRNA". It matches the Rfam family "Bacterial small subunit ribosomal RNA", at positions 568 to 898 of the family's 1533-position model. The record is from RNAcentral.
UGCGUAGACGGUUAGAUAAGUCGGGUGUGAAAGCCCCGGGCUCAACCUGGGAAUUGCAUUCGAGACUGCCUAGCUAGGGUGCGGAAGAGGGAAGCGGAAUUUCCGGUGUAGCGGUGAAAUGCGUAGAUAUCGGAAGGAACACCAGUGGCGAAAGCGGCUUCCUGGUCCAGCACCGACGUUCAGGCACGAAAGCGUGGGGAGCAAACAGGAUUAGAUACCCUGGUAGUCCACGCCAUAAACGAUGAGAACUAGACGUUGAAGGGUAAGCCCUGCAGUGUCGUAGCUAACGCGCUAAGUUCUCCGCCUGGGGAGUACGGCCGCAAGGUUGAA